RNAcentral lists this ribosomal RNA (301 nucleotides) under uncultured bacterium. RNAcentral describes it as "partial 16S ribosomal RNA". It matches the Rfam family "Bacterial small subunit ribosomal RNA", at positions 509 to 807 of the family's 1533-position model. The record is from RNAcentral.
CAGCCGCCGCGGUAAUACGAAGGGUGCAAGCGUUAAUCGGAAUUACUGGGCGUAAAGCGUGCGUAGGUGGUGGUUUAAGUCCGUUGUGAAAGCCCUGGGCUCAACCUGGGAAUUGCAGUGGAUACUGGAUCACUAGAGUGUGGUAGAGGAUAGUGGAAUUUCCGGUGUAGCAGUGAAAUGCGUAGAGAUCGGAAGGAACAUCUGUGGCGAAGGCGACUAUCUGGGCCAACACUGACACUGAGGCACGAAAGCGUGGGGAGCAAACAGGAUUAGAUACCCCCGUAGUCCCUGUCUCUUAUAC